Molecule: long non-coding RNA, 1021 nt
Organism: Stylophora pistillata
Lineage: Eukaryota; Metazoa; Cnidaria; Anthozoa; Scleractinia; Pocilloporidae
Source: RefSeq, a predicted model, not a curated record
UUGUAGGAUUUAUUUGUUAUUCGCCGCAGAACGUCGACCGUUACUUACUUCUUGAAGGCAGAGAGAUGUUUUUAUCCCGUAUUUAUGGAUUUCUGUCUCAGGGAUGAAGAUGUAACACAGGUAUCAAUACAAGUAAUUAAGUUCGUCCUCGCAGGAAAAAGAAAGUGUACUACCUUCAGUCCAAAGAGGAACUCCAGGGGAGUAUGCGGGGGGCAUAGGUUGCCUCUUUUGUUAUCUUGUUUUGGACGGUGUCAGUCGUUUUGGGCAGCAAGGCUGACACUGAUAAUGAAGUCACCUCCUCGUCCAGGUGGGGUACUCACCCCAGUCCUCCGGUUGUCAAUUACUGUACGCUCAUGGGGACACGAGAGAUUAAGAGACACGAAGAAGCAAAGAACGGGAAGGACUUCAGUCCUCGAGCUGCCCGACGUUUCAGCAACGGUGGUGUGAUGGAGUUUGAUGUGUCCACUCGCUUUGAGAUGGUAAUGAUAAAGGAGACAGGGUAACGAAGAAUCAUGUCUCAUUGCUGGAAGAAUCACGAAAAGUUUAUGUUUGCCUCAACACUAAUUGGCACGAUUCAAAGCCCUGUACACGGAUUGAUGGUUAGCGUGACGUUAAUAAAGUAAAGAUGAAGGAGUGAACAAAGAAAGAUUUAGACAAUCACUGGGAGUGGCUCAGUUAGAGCAUCGGGAAGGAUGAUGAGAAGCGGGUCACACGUCGCAGUUCAAUGCAGAAGCAACAUGGAAGGGAGUGAUGAAAAAAUGAGAAAAUGGCUCUGACCAAAGCUGUCUCCUACUCCAAUGUUUGAAAAGUUCUUUCUGUGCUGUCUCUUAUUUGAUUGUUCGAUUGUUUUUUGCAACUUUACUGUUUUUGCCAAAAUGGGCAAAGAAGGGAAAAUACACCAACUUAAUUGGACUCCGGAGGUAUUUUGUAAGAAUCUGGUGAGUGGGUGAUUUGCGGCAAAGCUUGGUGUUAGUCGCGUAAGGGCAUCAUUAAUCAUUGGGAUCUUGCUAUGUGGUUAGUU